Molecule: ribosomal RNA, 490 nt
Filed under: uncultured bacterium
Lineage: Bacteria
Description: partial 16S ribosomal RNA
Rfam family: Bacterial small subunit ribosomal RNA
Source: RNAcentral
AUUGAACGCUGGCGGCAGGCCUAACACAUGCAAGUCGAACGGUAACAGGAAGAAGCUUGCUUCUUUGCUGACGAGUGGCGGACGGGUGAGUAAUGUCUGGGAAACUGCCUGAUGGAGGGGGAUAACUACUGGAAACGGUAGCUAAUACCGCAUAACGUCGCAAGACCAAAGAGGGGGACCUUCGGGCCUCUUGCCAUCGGAUAUGCCCAGAUGGGAUUAGCUAGUAGGUGGGGUAACGGCUCACCUAGGCGACGAUCCCUAGCUGGUCUGAGAGGAUGACCAGCCACACUGGAACUGAGACACGGUCCAGACUCCUACGGGAGGCAGCAGUGGGGAAUAUUGCACAAAGGGCGCAAGCCUGAUGCAGCCAUGCCGCGUGUAUGAAGAAGGCCUUCGGGUUGUAAAGUACUUUCAGCGGGGAGGAAGGGAGUAAAGUUAAUACCUUUGCUCAUUGACGUUACCCGCAGAAGAAGCACCGGCUAACUCCGUG